CUCGAUAUAAAAAUCUAGUUUUUCAAUUUAUUUUGUUAUUUAAUUGACAAAAAAGAUCGAAGCGUAUCAUGAAAGUAUUCCAUUUACAAAAGUACUUUUUCUUUUUAAACAUCACUUUACUGCUUCUUAACUGCUUCGUAAUAUUCUAUCGUACGUAGCUAUGGCGAUUGUAGAGUACAAAAUCAUUGGGAUUGAAUUUAUACCUAAUUCUACAAUUAAAAUUCAUCUUGUCAAAGAUAAACAAACGUGUUUAGGCAUUUCUAAGCGGUAGCGGUAUCUAUAUACAUUGAAUUGAAUUAAUUAACGCGGAUUUAUGUAGAUGGCAGGACGACUGCGCCGAUUGUUGACCACUAUUAAAAAUCGCGCCAAAUUAGUGAACUCGUGAUCUCUCAUUCCGCCGACUGUUCUUCGUGAUCCACUUUAAACUUACAAGAGUUCUUUAGUCUUUAGUUCUUUAUCGUAUCCUUCUCGGUCGAUUCUCGAAUCUAUUGAACGUCUACCCGAUAUUCGUCUCGUGAUACGAGCAGUGUAGUGUAUCCGUCAAUUUAAUAAGGCAUAUCCCUGUAGCACACCUUGUCACAUUGUCAUCGUCGAAUAAACUCCUUUUCGAAGCGGUCUAACCUCUUAAAACGGUAAAGAACCUUUGGUCUUUACUUCUUUAAACGCGGUGAUAGAGUGGUUGAAAGGUGAGGAGGCACUUGAGCGGUGCCGGAAGAGACGCGAGGACGUACUGAAGGGGUUGGCUGGUCUGCCUUUAUGCCGUAACAACGAGGGCCCACUUCAUAGGGCAGGAAGCACAAAGACGAGAAUUUACCCGUGCCAUUCUGCCCACUCGUGUUCCCUGUCCGCACAUCUCGAAGUUCAUGAUUCCAAGGACAUGGAAUUUUCAAUAGAUUAUGCAGAGAUCGAGGACCAGAAAAUACAUGAUCCCAUAGUUAUAAAAAUCGUCACAAGUUAUCUGAAAGUCAAAGAAUCUCGAGACGUAUUCAUGUAACAUACUUUGUAACACAAUUUAUAUUUAAAAAUGAUCUUUACUUUUAUACGCAUAUGAAUCAACUUUGUGCGUUUAUAUCAAUUGGCACCAAUUGGUUGUCGUAUCAUAUGUUUACCUUUAAUAUAGGUAUUAAAAUAUUUAGACAAAAAUAUUGAUCGGUAGCUGUAAUUACGAUUACAACUACUUUAGAUCUCGAGAAUGGUGAUGCAACCAGGAAACAAGGAGCAGACAAUGGUAUAACGCUUGAUCAGAAGUGAAAUGUCAAGGUAAAGAGCAGUAAAGAGGCUCAAGCGUGUUCGAUGAACAGCACGCAACCGUUAGCCUAACAAGCUGUCAAGACGUCGCCGCGUGUCAAUCCAAUGGUCUCUACGCACCCUUCGAAUAAAUCUACUGGGAGUCUGUUUCCACCCCCUUUCUCGACGCCGCACCAACCAGAACUGCUGUUGUCUCUCAACCACCGCUUGCAAACUUUUAGCCCUUUGAAUGAUUUAACUUCUUAGAUUGCGUUCCUCUUGUAUCCAGUCUUGCAUAUUCCUUAUCUUUCAAAGAUAAAUUAAGCUGGAGCAAGUCAAUUAUCGGUAGACUGGAUUUUUAUGCAUUUAGAUGAAAUUUAAUAGUGCAAAAAUGUACGGAACGCGUAUAAUAUGCAAAAAUACAUAGAAUACCCAAAGUAGAGUAUCGAUUAAAAAACGUAAAUUUGUAUAAAAAUCCAAGGUGUAAUAACCGACAGAAAGCAUACUAUUUUGUCUCCUUCUUAAUUUCAAAACUUUGCAAUUUACUGCUUUGGGAUCUUAAUAAAAUUAUCAGCUACGAACGUGUUGGAAUUCGAUGUUUUAUUGAAUUAUUAUGGCUGUAUUUAAUCAGGGACAUGUGAUCGAAUCAUCUCUCAAUAAUACGGUCGCUUAUAAACUCUUAUUGAUCCUGCAUGGAAACUUUCAUAGAUCUUAUCUACUAGCUAACAUAAUUUGAUUUCCUCGAAUUAGUACGUGCGUGUGGGGUGCCUUGUACGUACGAUAAUCUUCUCCCCUUUGAUCUACCUAUGACGUACUGUUUCAGAUUAUACACUUUGUAAUCUGUAAUAUACUCAAUCUAGCGUACGAUGUAAUGUAAAUUUGUCGAUCACAUUUAGCGGUAUAAAAUCACUGGACUUUUUAGACUUCUCCUGUAAUUUUUUAAGAAUAUUGCCGUAUUCUUUAUAAAAGCUAUUUAUAUGAUGAUUAUUUCACGUAAUAUUGUAGAUAUUAAAAUAUCGUGAAACGAAUACUAUAUCGUUUUGCAUUGUUUGAAAUGAAAAUAUAAAUGAAACUGAUUAAUACAUUUUCAUAGAGAAUAUUAACGAGCGACACCGAUUAUUAUUAUUAUUAUUAUUAGAUAAAGAUAAAUGAUCUUUACCUGAUCUUAACGCCUCCAUUGAACAAUAUAAGCACCUCUUAUCUCUUCUUUCCGGUCUCCUGUAAUUCUUCUAAAAAUAUUCCCUUUCAUAUGAUGUACAAGUACUUUUUGAGAUUUUUAUAAUAAUAGAUCAAGAUCAGACACCCUGUAUAUGCUUUCUUAGAAUCUAGGGAAAAUUAUAGACCGCUGUUACCAAUGCAAUUAUCAGGUAGUCGACUUUUGGAUGGCGCGCAACACGUUUUGUAAUUCAGUUCGGCGAAAUUGUGCGAUUUUCUCAUCAGCAUCUCGACCGCGUGAAAUCAGAUUAGCGAUAAACGAACUCGCUUCGUUACAUCGUUACACGUUACGAUAUCAAUUUGUAACAUGGAAGACCCGUUACAGUAUGAAUAAUAAUAAUCGAAGUUUAGAGUUUAGCACCUAUCAUUGGUAGAAUAUUUCAAAAACAUUUUUGCGUGUUAAGUCUCAAACUUGUUAAAAUGUUACGUUAAAUCUGUUCGUUGGAAAUUCUAUUUUUCCAGGUAGGAAAAUAAAUUUCCCAACGAAUAGGUAUAUAACGCAAUAAUUCACAGGUAAUUAGAAUACUAAUCGCGUAGAACUCAUUAAGAAAUCAUAUUCAACAAUACUAGGUUCAUUUUACAGACACAUAAACGUCUCAAUAUUCCAUAGAUUAUAGUUUUUCCAAAGUCACAUCUUCAUCUUCUCUAAUCAUUCAAUAAUUCCAAAACUCCUAGAUAUACAAAUCCUUAUGACGAUGAAGUCUCCUCACUAAGUAAACUCUUCUCAGCUCUCAGUACCUAAGAUAUUAAGUACAUAUAUACAUCUGCAGGAUAAAGUCAUUCAGACAUCAUCCAUCUCAAGCGUCAAGCAAUGCAUUAUGUAGACUUGAUGAGUUGGCUCUCAAAUGAAACGUGGGCAUUGAUUUAUUAUUUCUAAUAGAAUCAAUACGGUCAUAAAAAGAGCCAAGCGUGUCGAUGAAAGAUGUACAGAUAUCAUACAACACCGAUGAUGUGCAAGAGUAUUCCUCUUAUUCCAGUGCUGUCUCAUAUGCUAACUUGUACUAUAUCACUAGCGAAAGCGAUACUGAAGUUGUAAAAUUGGUUUCCGAUUGAAAUGUACAAUUUUCAAUAACCUCGGUCCAUAUAGGUAUAUAUAAUCUAUAGGUAUAUUUGAUUAUUUUUUUACGUACUCAUCAGUACUUUAGUUCAUAAAAAAAUGCACCCACAGUACCCGUACAUUUGCUUUACUGUUGUAUACUUCACUAUAUAAUCCCCUCCGUUAAGUAUAGCAUCUCUACACAGUACACGUUAAGAUUAACAUUAAGGUUGACUUGAUUAUUAUCCGUUUUAGAUGAACAAGGAGCGACACACACUUGCAAAGAAAGAAAGACAAAGAAGAAGAGACCGUGAAAGACACAGCCAGGUAGCUGUCUAUUCGAAGCCACCCUCGCGCUUUGCAGACUGCAGUAUCCUGUGCUGCGCAUAUCGGUACCGAACCCCUAUGACGGAAAAUAAUGAAAGUAAUGGGAACCCGCCCACUGCAUUUAGUCCGCGCAGCUACCAACCCCCAUUCAUCCCCUCGCUGCCUCUCUCGUCGUUCCUCUGCCCACCCUGUCCGCAUCACCGGGGGUUCUCUGUACUUGCCGCCUUGUUCAUUCUCAUCCAUCCUAGCCUUGCUCCAUUGGCUAUUGUACCUGCCAUUUCAUUGUCCUUUAUUUCAUUAUUUUCGCCGCAUUCCUGUCUCCCUUUUGCCUGGCAAGGGGUGCGAAUUUUCCCCCUUUAUUUACGGUGCCGUAAUAACAGACGUCUUAACGGAAUUUAAACGUCAUAAAUGGCCUGCCAUGAUCUCAUUAGUUUACGAGAUAGUUGCUUUCUCUUCCUACCUUUUCUCUUCUGCUUGUUGCCUGUGUGGUUCCGUUGUUCGGCGUACGACAAAGCUUAUUCGAGAGCGAGCAAUAUCGCGAACCUGAGAUCUGCCGUUUCGACAUCAAAGAAAAUAUUUUGUAAUAUAGCUUAUGCGUGCGCACGGUUCAAUGUUGAAUGCGAAUGUUUAAGGUAGGCAAAGCCGAAAGAGUGCGUCGAAAUGAAGUUGAUGUUGGUACACGAUAUUGUGAAGAUUUGGUCGUUGUUGAAGUUUAUUUUAAGCUCUUAAUCUGUUAGAAUAAUAUUGGCGAUAAUCAGACUGCGAAUAUUUGUGAUAUGCAAAAAUUUUGUUCACUCAUUAUAUAUACACAUUGUGACAAGUAUUUAGAUAUUUCACAUACUUUUUGCGUAUUAUGGGUAUAAUAUGUAUUUUUGCACCUUUAAAUUUUCCAUAAAACAAUCUGCAAUCUAGUAGUAAUCUUUAUGAAUGUGUUUCUAUCUGAUAUCGUACAGUAUGUUCAGAAGAAUUGCUACUUCAUGUCCUAGGUAAUAUUUUAACGAAUUGUUUACUAACUGUUUGUUACAUCACAUGCGUAAAAUUCAUUAACGGUUCUUUAAUCUUUUCCAGACAUUUUCUGUGAUAGAACACGUGUCUUUAUUCUUCAUACCUUGAACGAGGGCGUAUGUCAGGAGAAGGUGUGAUGAAAGGUUUUGACGCUUGACCCUUGCCGAACGUGUCGAUGAAGCGGCGAAGGAAAGGAAUGAGAAAUAACGUUAUCGAUCUCCGAAUACGCAAGGCUUUUCGUCAUCUUCCAAUUUCUUUACCUCAAAAGAAAAAAAAAAAAAAAAGAAGAAGAAGAAAAAAGGAAGAAAAUAUACGAAUCCCGUGCCAUUAAUUCCCACGAUUCGAAGCUAAUCAAACGUAUCAUCAGACGUUAUACGAAACCCUAACGAAACCGAAAGGAAGCGUAACCGACAGAGAAAAUGCCUCUAAAAAGCUACCUCCUCGGUUCUUAUCUUAGUGGUCAGAAAAUCGACUGAUCAAAUUGGGUCAGAUAUGUGCCGGUACACAACUAUAAGGUCCUCGACAGCAGCCCUCGGCCGUGGGCAAUCGUGAAUGUAGGUCUGGCCAAGCACUUAGCCGAUAAUUGACUAAUUUUCUCGAAGACCGAAUCGAGAAGACAAGAGCUUCCUAUGAAUGAACAGAAAUCCGAAGACUGGUAAUCGUUUAGUCGAUAUCGAGAUCAGGAGAAUGAUAGAAGCGUUUUCCGAAGAAGAAGAUGGGACCUAAUUGUCUGGUUAUCGUUGAUCAGUAAUCGAACUAACAUCACGAGGCAUGUUCCGAGGAAGAUGAGCUUUUAGAUUACGCAAUUAGAAUACGAGAAUUCACUUGAAACAGCAGCAAUAUGAACGUGAUUCAGAAUCACGACGAAUGAAUUCGUUAUUUCUGACGAAGAGAACGAUAGCGAGAAGGACAUCUUUAAAAAUCCUUAGGAUUUCCUUUUUCUUCGCAUGCGUGAAAUUAUAUCAGAAAACAGGAUUCGAUAACGCAAACUGACCGAAAGAAACAAAGAAAGAACGUUGCGAACGAAACAUCGCGUUAACAAAACUUUCAUCAUCUCGAUACGUUUCCGACGUUUUUAAACUUUUAAGAGCGAUAUUGAAUAUCGCGGACUUGUUCCGAGUUUUUGCGGAGUAUCUUUCUUUUUUUUUUUUUCCUGGCGACGCAGAAUUCCAAAUAUGAUUUAUGAGCAAUUGAUUAUGUAGGACACAUCGUGUUGUUAAUCCGAGCUAAUUGAUGCGAAGCAACGCGAGCGGUCGCGUGUUUAUCGAAAAGUCGAUACAUGUGUUUAGCGGUAAUUACGCAUUGUUAGGCGGAUACGAAACUGCACGGGGGUUCCAGCAAUUGCAAUUAAACGCUUGCAUUAGCUACGCGAUGCGUGAAAAUUUUAAGCGUCAUCGAGUUUAUAAUAGGACGCUAACUUUCCAUUUUAUCAGCUAUAACUUUCCCCUGAAGUCGUGAUCGCCCGUUUCGCCUGUCUGAUCACCUGUCCUCAAAGUUUUUUUACCUUUCCAAUUUGUUACCCGUAUUUAUUUUAAUAAUAAAACCCGUAAUAAUUUUAUUACGAAAACAAAAUCUUGCGCUCGCUUUAAGAAAAGUCGAACGUAUUUUUCAAUUCGUUGUUCAGAGGGCAAGAGGUUGGAACUUUCACGGGUUCAAAUAAAACUUUAGAUAGAGACUCGAUGUUCAAACGCAUAAGUAGCAAGUCGCUGACGAGUAGAAUACAUACACGGCGCUUUGAAUUAGAUUCUACAAGACGAUAUUGCUGACACAAAAAUUUUAAGAAUUGUAUGGACAAUUAUAAACUGAUUUCGUAAAGAUAUUACGCAGACGAUGAUUCAUAUACGUCGCCAAUAGCGAAAAUCAUGAUCUAUGAUUCAUAUUUCAUUUCAUAAGAGUUCUUUUCGCCAACGUUGAAAUGAUUCCUGCACGAAUCGCUUUAUAAAGUAACUUACAAACAAAUUGUACGUCAGACAAGAUAUAUACUAGUUACUAGUUAAUCAUUUCUAGCAUAAGCAUUCAUUUCUAAUGUAAGAUCGUAUAUUAGACCAGAUAUAUGAUAUAAUGAUUGUGAUAAACUCUCGUAACUGUUAAUCGUUCCUAGUGUCAAUAAUUCCAUUUUUUCUUUGUAUAAAAACGCGGAGAAACAUAGAUAUUUUCGUUCAAUUUCAGCUGAUACCAUUACGGUCUCAAAAGCUGCCAAUCCUCCGCGAAAUUGUCAGGCGAGAGACACAUAAUUACGAGAAAGUUAAACCCUUGAAAAGAAUGUGUGCACGUUAGCUGUUUUAUUUGUAACGAGUCUGUUAUCGAGCCUGAAUCUGCAAGAAUCUUUUCUAGAUUCUGUUGUAAACGAAGUCUAGCUUUCCUUAUUAUCAGGAUGAAAGAAUAUGAGAUUUGCUUACCGGCAGGCGAUGUAACGGAAACGGAUUGACCGGUGCAUUGCUGAUUAGAAUUCUGGUUACCAUUGCUUCCAGCGCUGGUGUUCAAUUUCCUCAAUUGUUUCUUGUGCUUCAUCCGGCGAUUUUGAAACCACGUUUUCACUUGGGUCUCCGAGAGAUGAAGAGCCGCCGCGAGCUCUACCCUCUCCGGUGUACUCAGGUACCUCUGCACCUCGAAUCUAGCUUCCAAACCCGCUAAUUGUUGAUCGCUGAACACCUAAAUACGACACAAACGAUUUCUUGCAAGCCUGUACGAACUUUUACUUAUGUCGACGAUAGCGUUUUUAGUAAUUUUGUUUUGCCUGAUAAAAUUACUUGCACGAUUGAUCGAUAUUGUUUCGACGAUUAAAUUAUUUUCAUUGACAUUUCCAUGAACGUUGCUAACCGUUUUCGUUUAAUCUUGUCAUAACAAAUUCAUAUAGAAUUUCGUUAGUAGCAUACUAGUAGGAAACUGAAGGUAGAAUAUUGCAGCUGUGAAAACGAGCAAAGAUAGAAUUUAGGUGGUCGGACAAUGGAAUUUUCUUAGCGUAACGAACCACUUCAAACAAGCCUACACUUGUUACUAAAUAGUUUUGGUUUCUCUAUUGGGUAAAUUACCAGGAAACGUUAAUAACAAAAGUUAGAGCGACAAUGUAAAAAUUAAAGAAAGGAUACAGCUGCGUAAUUUACUAUGAAAGAUCUUGGCUCAAUAUAAGAAACAUACACAGAAUGCUUCAAACCCUUGCUUUGCCAUUUUCUUAGUAGCUAUUUAAAUGAAGUUAAUUUAAGAUGUAACUAUCCACUGUUGUAACACCAUGUCGGAUGCAAAAUGUCAUAAAAUUUAAUGCGGUUAAAGUUUAAACUAAAAUUAGUUUAAUCUAAAUUUCUAAUAGUUGAAAUCACAAAAUUUGAAAGUAAGCAUCGUCGCUGAAUUGAAACUACGAUCCGCGUUACGAGUAUGAUUCGAUACUUUAACAUUAGAAUUGCCAAUUAUAGUGAAAGCACUAUGACGAAAAUAAAUCUAUAAUCAUAAUCAUUCUGAUUUCAAUGAGAUCAAUAUCGAUUUCGUGAAAAGCGCAUUCGUACGUUUUCAAUAAUUAAAAGAAAAUGAAGGAAUUAAAAAGCAAAUCUCUAUAGCCGUAACGUUUCGAUAUUUUUAUCUUCGUAUCGAGACAAGUGAAUCAUGCAAACGACCACCAGUGGAAGAGGCAAAAGAUAAGGGUUACAAGUGGUUUCACUCACUGUUCGUGCCUUUCGUCGACGGCAGUGCUUCAAGGCCGCAAGUUCAGUAACUCCCGGUACCACGCCAACCCCCAUCG
Long non-coding RNA from Bombus terrestris (buff-tailed bumblebee), 8543 nucleotides. RefSeq lists it as uncharacterized. The record is from RefSeq and is a predicted model, not a curated record. NCBI's taxonomy places the organism in Eukaryota, Metazoa, Arthropoda, Insecta, Hymenoptera, Apidae. The transcript is spliced from 6 exons.